This 1382-nucleotide long non-coding RNA is filed under the name Fragaria vesca (wild strawberry). RNAcentral's name for it is "long non-coding RNA (FVES_LNC004961)". Lineage: Eukaryota; Viridiplantae; Streptophyta; Magnoliopsida; Rosales; Rosaceae. The record is from RNAcentral.
AAACAAGAUAAAACAAAAAAUGAUAAUACUAGAGAUAUGGGGUUUUGUGAUUAUAAACGAGAGAAAAUAAAGAAACAACAUAAAGCAGAAAAGAUCAGAUGAAUGAGACGUUAGAGACUUCGAAAUCCACCACCAAGUAUGUUUCAAGACAUGUUAACAACCAAAGCUUCAAUUAUUAAGUCGCAAAUCGGUAUCAAUCAAGAACAAAUCGUGAAAGCACUGCGUAAGUCCUUAUUACUUCCCUUGAAUAUUUAAGCAAGACGAACGCACCAUUACUAAGCCUUUAGAAUAACCGAUCAAGGUAUAGACGUUAUCCUAUCAACAAAUUAUUUUAAGCAUUAAGAUCAAUGAAAGUUUGAUUGAACAAGUAUGCAAAACUAGUGUGGAACGCCUACCUAGCAUGCAAUCCUUUUUAUUUGGUUUCACCUAUUGUCCUAUAGGUUUUACUAUCUUGAAUUAAGCCUUAUUAACCGUUUAGGAGAUUAAACAACAUAAUUAUAGCCCCACUCACAAGUUCAUAAUGUUCUAUGUUACGAAUAUAUGAACAUAAACAAGUAAGAGUUCUCCAUAAACCAAAAUCAAAUAAACAAUUUGAAAGACUCAAUAAAUUGAAACCAAAGUUCAAAACAAUAUCUCAAACAUUCUUGGGGCUUCAAACCUUGCCCCUAACUAAGAGAAUUCAGCCACACAUGGUUGCAAAAUCACACAAGAAGAAUAAAAGAUGACAAAGGAAAGAUAAACCGUGGAUGAUGAAGAGAUCAAUGAUGGCUUGGCGGCUUCCUUGUGCGAGUCUACAACUAUGGAGGUUAUGAUGAUGUGAGAUCGCUGCCUCCUCUAAUCUUCACGUCCUCCUCCCUUUUUUGCUGUGGUUAGGAUUAUGAAACCCUCAAAACUCGUUCAUGGGCUUACCAAUGUGGUUUGGGGCUCAAAAUAGAAGUUUUGCUCCAAAUCAGAAAUUCGGGCAGAUUGACCUUCGGCCACUCAAACAGUCAUAACUUCUUCUCCAAAAUAUGUAUUGACGAUCCGUAAAAAGUUCUGGAAAGUAGACUCUUGUAGCUUUCCAUUGAUAUAUAGCACAUCUCUUGGAUCGUUGUGAGCUAAUCACAAUCUUCUGUCGAAUUUGACUGAUAAUCUCUGGCAAAUUUUCUGAUUUAUUUUCUCUGCACAACAUGAAUUUCUUUUCCUUCAAGAUUUCUCCUUUUUCGUCCAUUUUGGGCUCCUUGGCUUUAUUUAUGACCUAAAAAUACAAACUUAGUUAAUAUGAAUAUUGUUAAAGGAAUUACAUAGCUAAAUAGGUUUGGAAAUACCUUAUAAACGUACCACUUUGUGCUCCUAUCAGAGGUGUUGGAGAAUGUGGGAGACUCCCACAUUGGAAAAAUAGU